RNAcentral lists this long non-coding RNA (653 nucleotides) under Chinchilla lanigera (long-tailed chinchilla). RNAcentral's name for it is "lncRNA (ENSCLAG00000027414.1)". The record is from RNAcentral. Lineage: Eukaryota; Metazoa; Chordata; Mammalia; Rodentia; Chinchillidae.
GCGACAUAUUUCCAAAGAGGUAGCUACAAACAGUUCUAGCAAUGCCUUUGAUAUAAGAAAUGCCUGGAAACUUACUUCUCUGACAAUUACAGCUACUUUGUGUGGUUUCCGCACGGAGCAUCAGCUGUAUCUUCACUAGCAAGCUGCAUCCGACUACCUCUGCGUUAAAUCUGCUUCAGAUGGAUGUCUUCCGCCCACUGUGGAGAGUAGUUUCACAGCACCAUGAGCUUUCCCGAGUGUAUUCCCAGGCCAAGCCACUAAGCGGAGCACAAUUAAGCCUCGUCCUGAAGGCGUUUGAGACGGUGACACUUUUUGACCUACUGUUGUGUCUCCUGGAUGCUACUUCUGCCCAGGACGUCUGCACCUUGUUGUUUUCCCUUUUUGCUUCUAAGGACUGCACAUUUGACCUCCAGGGAAUUCCUUCAGCUCCUCAGAGUCCCAUGGUAGAAGGAAAUCACCGUACCAUUUUGUGAAGAGCUAUGUUUGCUAGAAGAGAAAACUUCCCCUUCUUCCUCAUUUGUUGCCCUUAAUUAUUUUCAAUUCCAGUAGCUUCUUAAAUUGAACCAUAUAAAUGUGAAUGAAUAGGUUAUUCUUCCUUAUCACAGGGAAUUAAUUCUUUAGAUAUAGCUACAAUUAAAGAAUUUUAAACACAU